Molecule: ribosomal RNA, 1540 nt
Filed under: Klebsiella pneumoniae
Lineage: Bacteria; Pseudomonadati; Pseudomonadota; Gammaproteobacteria; Enterobacterales; Enterobacteriaceae
Description: bacterial SSU rRNA
Rfam family: Bacterial small subunit ribosomal RNA
Source: RNAcentral
AAAUUGAAGAGUUUGAUCAUGGCUCAGAUUGAACGCUGGCGGCAGGCCUAACACAUGCAAGUCGAGCGGUAGCACAGAGAGCUUGCUCUCGGGUGACGAGCGGCGGACGGGUGAGUAAUGUCUGGGAAACUGCCUGAUGGAGGGGGAUAACUACUGGAAACGGUAGCUAAUACCGCAUAAUGUCGCAAGACCAAAGUGGGGGACCUUCGGGCCUCAUGCCAUCAGAUGUGCCCAGAUGGGAUUAGCUAGUAGGUGGGGUAACGGCUCACCUAGGCGACGAUCCCUAGCUGGUCUGAGAGGAUGACCAGCCACACUGGAACUGAGACACGGUCCAGACUCCUACGGGAGGCAGCAGUGGGGAAUAUUGCACAAUGGGCGCAAGCCUGAUGCAGCCAUGCCGCGUGUGUGAAGAAGGCCUUCGGGUUGUAAAGCACUUUCAGCGGGGAGGAAGGCGUUAAGGUUAAUAACCUUAGCGAUUGACGUUACCCGCAGAAGAAGCACCGGCUAACUCCGUGCCAGCAGCCGCGGUAAUACGGAGGGUGCAAGCGUUAAUCGGAAUUACUGGGCGUAAAGCGCACGCAGGCGGUCUGUCAAGUCGGAUGUGAAAUCCCCGGGCUCAACCUGGGAACUGCAUUCGAAACUGGCAGGCUAGAGUCUUGUAGAGGGGGGUAGAAUUCCAGGUGUAGCGGUGAAAUGCGUAGAGAUCUGGAGGAAUACCGGUGGCGAAGGCGGCCCCCUGGACAAAGACUGACGCUCAGGUGCGAAAGCGUGGGGAGCAAACAGGAUUAGAUACCCUGGUAGUCCACGCCGUAAACGAUGUCGAUUUGGAGGUUGUGCCCUUGAGGCGUGGCUUCCGGAGCUAACGCGUUAAAUCGACCGCCUGGGGAGUACGGCCGCAAGGUUAAAACUCAAAUGAAUUGACGGGGGCCCGCACAAGCGGUGGAGCAUGUGGUUUAAUUCGAUGCAACGCGAAGAACCUUACCUGGUCUUGACAUCCACAGAACUUUCCAGAGAUGGAUUGGUGCCUUCGGGAACUGUGAGACAGGUGCUGCAUGGCUGUCGUCAGCUCGUGUUGUGAAAUGUUGGGUUAAGUCCCGCAACGAGCGCAACCCUUAUCCUUUGUUGCCAGCGGUUAGGCCGGGAACUCAAAGGAGACUGCCAGUGAUAAACUGGAGGAAGGUGGGGAUGACGUCAAGUCAUCAUGGCCCUUACGACCAGGGCUACACACGUGCUACAAUGGCAUAUACAAAGAGAAGCGACCUCGCGAGAGCAAGCGGACCUCAUAAAGUAUGUCGUAGUCCGGAUUGGAGUCUGCAACUCGACUCCAUGAAGUCGGAAUCGCUAGUAAUCGUAGAUCAGAAUGCUACGGUGAAUACGUUCCCGGGCCUUGUACACACCGCCCGUCACACCAUGGGAGUGGGUUGCAAAAGAAGUAGGUAGCUUAACCUUCGGGAGGGCGCUUACCACUUUGUGAUUCAUGACUGGGGUGAAGUCGUAACAAGGUAACCGUAGGGGAACCUGCGGUUGGAUCACCUCCUUA